Molecule: ribosomal RNA, 217 nt
Filed under: uncultured bacterium
Lineage: Bacteria
Description: partial 16S ribosomal RNA
Rfam family: Bacterial small subunit ribosomal RNA
Source: RNAcentral
UACGAAGGGGGCUAGCGUUGCUCGGAAUUACUGGGCGUAAAGGGCGCGUAGGCGGCUUAUCAAGUCAGGCGUGAAAUUCCCGGGCUCAACCUGGGGGCUGCGCUUGAUACUGAUUGGCUUGAAUGCGGGGAGAGGAUAGUGGAAAUUCCCAGUGUAGAGGUGAAAUUCGUAGAUAUUGGGAAGAACACCGGUGGCGAAGGCGGCCAUCUGGACCGCA